CAAACCUCUCCUAUGGAACAACCACGCACACCGACAAAACGGACUCACACUAUUCAACUCCACUGACUCAGUCCCACCUCCGUCACCAUGCUUAAAGGCAAGUUCAAGCUCCCUGACAAAGCUCGCCGUGUCUUCCCCGAUCGGCUUGGAAGCUUGGUCGCGGGUCUUGAUGAUAAGGUAGAUGAAAAUGGCUUGUACGACCCUGUUGUUGAGUCCGGAGAGGAGCUCGAGUUUAUUCAGCCCAAUGGGGCCACAUUGGGUAAGGAGAGUGACUACGAAAUCCACUAUGAAUACGGCGAUGAUGGUAUUUUUGGCCUUAAUGAGAAAAUGAUGGAUAAAGAGGAUGCCAAGGCCCGGAAAAGAUCCGACAAAGAUGGACCGGGUCAGGCUUCGGUCAUGGAGGUUUUCGCCGCCGG
This 416-nucleotide unclassified non-coding RNA is filed under the name Hevea brasiliensis (rubber tree). The record is from RNAcentral. Lineage: Eukaryota; Viridiplantae; Streptophyta; Magnoliopsida; Malpighiales; Euphorbiaceae.